RNAcentral lists this ribosomal RNA (2883 nucleotides) under human gut metagenome. RNAcentral describes it as "bacterial LSU rRNA". It matches the Rfam family "Bacterial large subunit ribosomal RNA". The record is from RNAcentral.
UCAAGUGACUAAGUGCAUGUGGCGGAUGCCUUGGCGAUCACAGGCGAAGAAAGACGCGGCAGCCUGCGAAAAGCUGCGGGGAGCUGGCAAACGAGCUUUGAUCCGCAGAUAUCUGAAUGGGGGAACCCACACCGCAAGGUGUAUCCGUAGCUCAAUACAUAGGUUACGGAGGCGAACGAGGAGAACUGAAACAUCUAAGUAUCCUCAGGAAAAGAAAUCAACCGAGAUUCCGGCAGUAGCGGCGAGCGAACCCGGAGGAGCCCAGCUUUUGAUAGUACGAACUUUAGCCGAAAGGUCCUGGAAAGGCCUGCUAUAGUGGGUGAUAGCCCCGUAGGCGAAAGAGUUGGUACGGUACUAAGGAAGCGAGAAGUAGAGCGGGACACGUGGAAUCCUGUUCGAAGACGGGGGGACCAUCCUCCAAGGCUAAAUACUCGUGAUCGACCGAUAGUGAACCAGUACCGUGAGGGAAAGGCGAAAAGAACCCCGGGAGGGGAGUGAAAUAGAACCUGAAACCGCAUGCAUACAAACAGUAGGAGCCUCGUCAGAGGUGACUGCGUACCUUUUGCAUAAUGGGUCAGCGACUUACAUUCUGUGGCGAGCUUAACCGAAUAGGGGAGGCGCAGCGAAAGCGAGUUCGAAAUGAGCGUUCAGUCGCAGGGUGUAGACCCGAAACCAGAUGAGCUAUCCAUGGCCAGGUUGAAGGUGUGGUAACACACACUGGAGGACCGAACCGACUAGUGUUGCAAAAUUAGCGGAUGAGCUGUGGAUAGGGGUGAAAGGCCAAACAAAUCUGGAGAUAGCUGGUUCUCCCCGAAAACUAUUGAGGUAGUGCCUCGUGUGUCGCUCCAGGGGGUAGAGCACUGUUUUGGCUAGGGGGACAUGGAGUCUUACCAAACCAAGGCAAACUCCGAAUACCUGGAAGCGUAAGCACGGGAGACAGAGCACCGGGUGCUAACGUCCGGACUCAAAAGGGAAACAACCCAGACCGCCGGCUAAGGUCCCAAAUAACAGCUAAGUGGAAAACGAAGUGGAAAGGCCGUGACAACCAGGAAGUUGGCUUAGAAGCAGCCAUCCUUCAAAGAAAGCGUAAUAGCUCACUGGUCGAGUCCUUCUGCGCGGAAGAUGUAACGGGGCUAAGCUGUUAACCGAAGCCGCGGAUGCGCUGGUUAUCCAGUGCGUGGUAGGGGAGCGUUCUGUAAGUCUGCGAAGGCGGUUCGAGAGGACUGCUGGAGAUAUCAGAAGUGCGAAUGCUGACAUGAGUAACGUUAAAGCAGGUGAAAAGCCUGCUCGCCGUAAGCCCAAGGAUUCCUGCUCUACGUUCAUCGGAGCAGGGUGAGUCGGCUCCUAAGGUCAGGCCGAAAGGCGUAGCCGAUGGGAAUCAGGUUAAUAUUCCUGAACCUGCGUCAGAUGCGAUGGGGGGACGGAGCAUGGAAGAUCAUCCGGGUGUUGGAAGUCCCGGUUGUUUAGCGUAGGAGGUCUGCAGGCAAAUCCGCAGACGCAUCUCCAAGGCAAAGACACGUGCCGCCACGGCGGCGAAGUGAUCGGAAGUGCUUCCAAGAAAAGCCUCUAAGCCCCAGUCUGAUGCGGACCGUACCGCAAACCGACACUGGUGGGCGAGCUGAAUAUGCUCAGGCGCUUGAGAGAACUCGGGAGAAGGAACUCGGCAAAUUGACACCGUAACUUCGGAAGAAGGUGUGCCGUAGUACCGUGAGAGGAGAGACACCUUGAGCGGGAAACGGUCUCAGAGAAUAGGUGGCUGCGACUGUUUAUUAAAAACACAGCACUCUGCAAAGUCGAAAGACGACGUAUAGGGUGUGAUGCCUGCCCGGUGCUGGAAGAUUAAUUGAUGGGGUGAGAGCCCUUGAUCGAAGUCCCAGUAAACGGCGGCCGUAACUAUAACGGUCCUAAGGUAGCGAAAUUCCUUGUCGGGUAAGUUCCGACCUGCACGAAUGGCAUAACGAUGGCCACACUGUCUCCUCCCGAGACUCAGUGAAGUUGAAAUGUUUGUGAUGAUGCAAUCUACCCGCGGCUAGACGGAAAGACCCCAUGAACCUUUACUGCAGCUUUGCAUUGAACUGUGAACCGAUUUGUGUAGGAUAGGUGGGAGGCAGAGAAGAGGCCACGCCAGUGGUCUUGGAGCCGACCUUGAAAUACCACCCUGAUUUGUUUGCGGUUCUAACCACGGACAGUGAUCCUGUCUUGGGACCGUGCAUGGUAGGCAGUUUGACUGGGGCGGUCUCCUCCUAAAGGGUAACGGAGGAGUACGAAGGUACGCUAGGUACGGUCGGAAAUCGUGCUGAUAGUGCAAUGGCAAAAGCGUGCUUGACUGCGAGAGCAACAACUCGAGCAGAUGCGAAAGCAGGUCAUAGUGAUCCGGUGGCUCUGAAUGGAAGGGCCAUCGCUCAACGGAUAAAAGGUACUCUGGGGAUAACAGGCUGAUACCGCCCAAGAGUUCAUAUCGACGGCGGUGUUUGGCACCUCGAUGUCGGCUCAUCUCAUCCUGGGGCUGUAGUCGGUCCCAAGGGUAUGGCUGUUCGCCAUUUAAAGAGGUACGUGAGCUGGGUUUAAAACGUCGUGAGACAGUUUGGUCCCUAUCUGCCGUGGGCGUUGGAAGAUUGACGGGGGCUGCUCCUAGUACGAGAGGACCGGAGUGGACGCACCUCUGGUGUACCGGUUGUCACGCCAGUGGCAUUGCCGGGUAGCUAAGUGCGGAAGAGAUAACCGCUGAAAGCAUCUAAGCGGGAAACUUGCCUGAAGAUGAGUCUUCCCGGAGGUUGAACCUCCCUCAAGAGUCGUCCGAGACCAGGACGUCGAUAGGUCAGGUGUGUAAGCGCUGUAAGGCGUUGAGCUAACUGAUACUAAUUGCUCGUGAGGCUUGAUCCU